AGCAGCCGCGGUAAUUCCAGCUCCAAUAGCGUAUGUUAAAAGUUGUUGCAGUUAAAAGCUCGUAGUUGAAUUUCGGGAUCAAUAUAUCGGUCGUGCCUUGGUACGUACUGGUAUCAUUGGUUUCUCCUUUCUGACGAACCAUGAUGUCAUUAAUUUGGUGUUAUGGGAAGUUAGGACUGUUACUUUGAAAAAAAUUAGAGUGUUUAAAAGCAGGCUUUAGCUUGAAUACAUUAGCAUGGAAUAAUGAAAAUAGGACGUUCGAACCUAUUUUGUUGGUUUCUAGGAUCAACGUAAUGAUUAAUAGGGGAUAGUUGGGGGGCAUUAGUAUUCAAUUGUCAGAGGUGAAAUUCUUGGAUUUAUUGAAGACUAACUACUGCGAAAGCAUUUGCCAAGGAUGUUUUCAUUAAUCAAGAACGAAAGUUAGGGGAUCGAAGACGAUCAGAUACCGUCGUAGUCUUAACCAUAAACUAUGCCGACUAGGGAUCGGAUGAUGUUAAUUUUUUAAUGACUCAUUCGGCGC
RNAcentral lists this unclassified non-coding RNA (520 nucleotides) under uncultured Glomus. Its description in RNAcentral is "SSU rRNA". It matches the Rfam family "Eukaryotic small subunit ribosomal RNA", at positions 569 to 1086 of the family's 1831-position model. The record is from RNAcentral. Lineage: Eukaryota; Fungi; Glomeromycota; Glomeromycetes; Glomerales; Glomeraceae.